RNAcentral lists this ribosomal RNA (115 nucleotides) under Tetracentron sinense. The record is from RNAcentral. Lineage: Eukaryota; Viridiplantae; Streptophyta; Magnoliopsida; Trochodendrales; Trochodendraceae.
GCAAUCAAUCUAGCACUAAUGCCCCGGAUCCCAUCAGAACUCCGUAGUUAAGCGCGCUUGGGCGAGAGUAGUUUUAGGAUGGGUGAUCUUCUGGGAAGUCCUCGUGUUGCAAUGU